Molecule: small nucleolar RNA, 100 nt
Filed under: Euglena gracilis
Lineage: Eukaryota; Euglenozoa; Euglenophyceae; Euglenales; Euglenaceae
Description: U14
Source: RNAcentral
GGCAAUGAUUGACACUGAACCUCGUUCACAGAUCAAUCCGAGCCACCAGUGAGAACCCAUUUGGGGUGGCGGAGGCGGAAGGCCUUGGCCCGUCUGAGCC